GCCAGCAACCUGCAGCGAUGCCAGGGCGGAAGAAAAUUCUUUGCAAGGCAGUGAAGAUGGAGAAUCAAGAUUGAGUAGUUCUGAGGAGGAGAUUGAAGGGUUUCCAAUGCCAGAGUUCAACAACAGAUUAUCUGUGUGCAGGUCAAGGAAGCCCAUGUUGGAAACUAUAAAAGAAGAACCAGUUCGUUCAAGAUGAGAUUAUUUUACGCACGUAGAGAAUUAAAUGACUCUUGUAUUCUUGAAUCUUUCUCUCAUAUUUCUUUACCAAAUAGAGAAAUUUCUUGGCUGAUAUAAAUAAAAUUUAAUUUCUUAACAUUUUAGCAUAUACAUGAGAAUAUUAAAUUUAAAGAUAUAUCAGCCAAGAAAUUUCUCUAUUUGG
This 379-nucleotide unclassified non-coding RNA is filed under the name Hevea brasiliensis (rubber tree). The record is from RNAcentral. Lineage: Eukaryota; Viridiplantae; Streptophyta; Magnoliopsida; Malpighiales; Euphorbiaceae.